This 71-nucleotide transfer RNA is filed under the name Marmota monax (woodchuck). It matches the Rfam family "tRNA". Rfam says of the family: Transfer RNA (tRNA) molecules are approximately 80 nucleotides in length. Their secondary structure includes four short double-helical elements and three loops (D, anti-codon, and T loops). The record is from Rfam by way of RNAcentral. Lineage: Eukaryota; Metazoa; Chordata; Mammalia; Rodentia; Sciuridae.
GCAGUUGUGGCUUAGUGAUAGAGUGCUUGCCUAGCAUGUGUGAAGCACUGGGUUCAAUUCUCAGCACUGCA